CAAUAGCGUAUAUUAAAGUUGUUGCAGUUAAAAAGCUCGUAGUUGGAUUUCUGGUCGGAAGCUCCUAUCCUCUGAUGAGCGUACAAGUGCGUCCUACCAUCCUUCUGUUAACCUUUAAGGCUUUCGCGGCUUUCUAGGGGCUCAGAUAUUUUACCUUGAGAAAAUUAGAGUGUUUCAGGCAGGCUAGCGCCGGAAUACAUUAGCAUGGAAUAAUGGAAUAGGACUUUUGCCUCUUCUGUUGGUCAUGAGGCUCGAGUAAUGAUUAAUAGGGAUAGUUGGGGGCAUUAGUACUUAACUGUCAGAGGUGAAAUUCUCGGAUUUGUUAAAGACUAACUUAUGCGAAAGCAUUUGCCAAGGAUGUUUUCAUUAA
Molecule: ribosomal RNA, 370 nt
Filed under: uncultured eukaryote
Lineage: Eukaryota
Description: partial 18S ribosomal RNA
Rfam family: Eukaryotic small subunit ribosomal RNA
Source: RNAcentral